UGCGCUGUUGCCAAACAAGGCGUGGCAGGUGCGAUUAUAGGUCGUGCCAUUUACGAAGGCGGCAUUCAGUUUGCCCAAGCGCAGC
RNAcentral lists this transfer RNA (85 nucleotides) under Kingella kingae. Its description in RNAcentral is "tRNA-Tyr(ata)". Lineage: Bacteria; Pseudomonadati; Pseudomonadota; Betaproteobacteria; Neisseriales; Neisseriaceae. The record is from RNAcentral.